CCAGCACGCGAUGUCCCCCUCCAUUGGCCUCUGGCCGCAAGCCCCGUCGCCGCCCGAAGAUGUCAUCCGCCGUGGCCGCAACUCCGCUGGCUACACUGAUCCUCUGGUGCUCCUCUCGUCGCCCUCGGGCGCGGGCCAUCGCCCCGAGCUCACCGGUGGUCGGAGCAUGGCAAACGAUGGCCGGAGCCGUCCGGACGGGCGCCGAAGCCGCGCUCCUUCCUCUGCCCCGUCGGGCAAGCGCGAGGAAGGAGACGAAGGCCCCGUCCCAGCUGGCCAGUGGGCCCUCGGCCCCACCUGUUGGCGGGCAGGCGUUGACCCGCCUGCCUAGCUGGAUAAGUGAUGGGCCCCACCGCCCGUGGGACCCGCAUGUCAGCAUCAGACGUGCCCGGCCCCGCCUCUGCUGACUGGGUAAGUGGAAACAUAUUUCCCUGUUUACGUUUUCACUAAGAGAAAGCGUAAACACAUGUGGCCUCUACCCAGAUUAUGUUUUCCCUGUUUGAAAGCGUAUUUUGUUUCCUCUGUGUCUCAAGUACGCUUUCCCUUUGCAGAAGACAUAUUCCCUCAAAAGGCGUUUUCUGUUUUAGCCACCAGGGGUUUGUUUGUAGAGAUUCUUUUUAUAGUUUGGUCCCUGGACUUCGUCAGGUUAUAUCUUUUUGCUUGCAACUCCAAAUGAGGUGAAUCCAAAGCCUAUUUCUUCGUCUCGUUGAGCCUAUUCUGUUGAUCACAGUUUAACCAUGUGUUAAUAUUCUGGAAAUGACCUUUUUGCCCUUGCACGUAACAACCCCUCCAAGAGAGAACUGUUUUCAGCAAAUUUUUCCGCGACUUCACCGAACUUCUCCCCGGUGCCUUCUUCAUCCCCAGGCAAGCCACAAUGCCCACUUGCAUGAUAGUCAUGCAGUAUCCAUGGUUUUCAACUUGAAUAUUUAUUAAAUGUUUGCUAGUUUAAAAUAUGGUUAUCAUUGUUUCGGUAAUGCUUCUGGGUUAGUGCUUACUUUCUUGCUAUGUUGUUAUGCACCUGGUUAUCAUGCCCUGCUAGUUGCUAGUAUUCCUUUCGUACGCUUAGGCUUGCUAUUAGUACAUGUUGAUGUUGGUGAUGGUCUUCGGUGCAUGACUGCCGUCUGUCCUGAGUAUCGUUGUUAUGCAUGUUCCAUUGUAUCCAGUUAGUUAAAUGCUUGCAUGAUGGCAUUGUUGAUAUGUUCUUGCAUGAUAUUUAUUAUUGAUACUAGUGGUCAUACUAUGUUUCUGAGAAGUAUGUACUUGUGAUGUUCAUGCUAGUCAGUAUGCCAUGCUCAAAUGGAUAAUUCAUUGUCGAUAUGGUUAAUAGUUAUGUUGCACCUCCAUGCUUAUGUUGAUAUCAUGUUCAUGCAUUGUAAUUUGCAUCAUGUUAUUUUAUCAUGGCUCAGCAUAGUUUGCAUGCAAGUUUAACCGGAUUAAAUUGAACUUGAACAACAUUUGGGUGAGUCAUGGUGCCACCAUAUCGAGCUGACCAGUGCAACCAAGCUUGCCUUUAUGGGAAGGUCCUAACUGGAUCUAUUAUCAUGCAUCUCGCCGGUGCCUCCCACGAGGGAAGGUUAUGGGCGCGCGCUACCCUGAUAAGUUAGGCGGACAUAAGCCUUGUGUGCCCGUUGUUGUUAUAUCCGGAUUGUCCCCGUUUGGGACCAUUUUGCCAUGAUGGUGGCUGUUUUACCACGACGGUGGCCAUUGGUGUCUUUGGUAGACAUGGGGCCACCUAGGACUUAGCCCAGUGGGGAGUGAGUCGGAGUGGCCGGGAGAGUGUCAUGGUAGUAGAUCGGUUUUGUAGGAACGCCGUUGGUCCACCCGAAUGGGAGCGCGAGGCCGUGCCCGCGGAUAAGGGCCCAGUUCAUAGUUGGUCACACUAUGGGUCAACAAUAUUAAUAAUAAUGAUGUGCUUAAUAACAACCCCGGUUCGAUGAUGAGAUAAGUUGGAUUUGUGAUCCGUGAACGAUCACAGUUUGGUUACGAGGUAACCCGCUGAACCAAGUGUGGUUUCGUUUGUGAUCCGUGAACGAUCGCCAUUUGGUUACGAGGUAACCCGUUGAACCAAGUGUGGUUCCGUUUGUGAUCUGUGAGUGAUCACCAUGGUAUCUAGGAUACCGAGUUGUUGGAUAUUCAUGAUGUUGUGCGAGAAUCGUGGGUAAAGAUCAAGCUCCUUGUGGUCAUUUAAUGAUUACUGUGGUAUUGUUUAUACCAAGCUUGGUUUGGUCCUAAGAGGAUUGUGUGAUGUCCGAGGUUGGUAAGUGAUGCAUGUGAUGGUCAUGAGGUAACCCGGACAGAAUAAAUGGUGCAUGAUAGUGUCAUCAUGUUGCAUGCUAGUAUCGUCAUAUUCAUAUGUUCAUGCCAUGUUCAUGUUGUUCUAGCUGUAUCAUGUUCAUGUUAUGUUGUUCUGAUGAUAUCCUGAUAAUCCCUGCUUAACCUGUAAUUGCCAUGUUGUUGUUUGUCUUGAAUGCUUCUGAUAAUUGUGAUCUUGCAAGUACAUUCAAUGUACUGACCUGGCAUGUUAUGCAAGUUUGCAGGUCAUGCCAGAUUUGAUUGCUUGUUUGCUGUGCAUUCCUUGUUUGCGAGCUAGGAUAAGCGUUCCAGUCAGAGUCCCUGCAGAGUGGAGUUGACCACCAUCGCCGUUGUUCCGCUGCUAGAAGUUAUUCCGCUGCUUUGAGUUGUUCUGCUGCUUGCAUAGAGCAACAAUGGCAGGCAUAGUGUCACCAUGCCGAUGUAAUCCCUUGUACCCAAAUAGAUUGUAAUAAAGAGCUAGUUUGUUCUAUGCUAAGCAGUGCUGUAUUCCAGAAGACUUCUCCUCAAUCUUUGGGCUGAAACACGGGGCGUUCCGGUUUCUCUGGGCCGGGGUGCCACAGCGUUGCCGCAUCGCACGGCACCCUCGAUAUCUCAUUGUGCUCGCCGCAUCGCAUGGAUGCCGACAUCUCGUCUUCUUCACGCGUACAGCUGAAGCUUCACUAGACCCUAGACUAAACUACAUGCAAUAUUCAACAUGCAGAUACCUAAUGACAUGAUUAG
Molecule: long non-coding RNA, 3030 nt
Filed under: Triticum aestivum (bread wheat)
Lineage: Eukaryota; Viridiplantae; Streptophyta; Magnoliopsida; Poales; Poaceae
Description: long non-coding RNA (TAES_LNC009057)
Source: RNAcentral